AUUGAACGCUGGCGGCAUGCCUUACACAUGCAAGUCGAACGGCAGCACGGGUGCUUGCACCUGGUGGCGAGUGGCGAACGGGUGAGUAAUACAUCGGAACAUGUCCUGUAGUGGGGGAUAGCCCGGCGAAAGCCGGAUUAAUACCGCAUACGAUCUACGGAUGAAAGCGGGGGACCUUCGGGCCUCGCGCUAUAGGGUUGGCCGAUGGCUGAUUAGCUAGUUGGUGGGGUAAAGGCCUACCAAGGCGACGAUCAGUAGCUGGUCUGAGAGGACGACCAGCCACACUGGGACUGAGACACGGCCCAGACUCCUACGGGAGGCAGCAGUGGGGAAUUUUGGACAAUGGGCGAAAGCCUGAUCCAGCAAUGCCGCGUGGGUGAAGAAGGCCUUCGGGUUGUAAAGCACUUUUGUCCGGAAAGAAAUCCUUGGCUCUAAUACAGUCGGGGGAGGACGGUACCGGAAGAAUAAGCACCGGCUAACUACGU
RNAcentral lists this ribosomal RNA (485 nucleotides) under uncultured bacterium. RNAcentral describes it as "partial 16S ribosomal RNA". It matches the Rfam family "Bacterial small subunit ribosomal RNA", at positions 30 to 506 of the family's 1533-position model. The record is from RNAcentral.